Cyprinus carpio (common carp) is the source of this 1389-nucleotide long non-coding RNA. RefSeq lists it as uncharacterized. NCBI's taxonomy places the organism in Eukaryota, Metazoa, Chordata, Actinopteri, Cypriniformes, Cyprinidae. The transcript has 4 exons. The record is from RefSeq and is a predicted model, not a curated record.
GUGUUUUUCUUUGAUCUGUUGUUGGUGGAUACUUCUGACUUCAUAUUUCACGUUUGGCAAUACGGCAGUGAAUCAUGCUCUAACUUUAUUUGUUAAUCAUGGAGAGUCUGCCAAAAUAAGAUGCAACUACCGCCGAACAGAUGACACAGAAAUCAUGACAGUGGCUUUAAAAGCGUUAAAUCAUACAUGCAUGUGUUCAUACAUACAUUUGAAUUCAUGGAAAAAACAAAGCUGCAAAGAUCACAUCAGAUUCAUAUGGAAUCCAGAGGCUGAGGAAAUAUCAUUUGAGCUAUUAAAUCUCCAUAUUAAGGAUACCGACAAAUACACCUGUAUUGUGAGGAGGAAUGCAAAACCACCUGAAGUGGAUCUGGGAGUAGAAAGAGUUCAAAUUAUUGUGUAUCCCGUCUUGUCUCUGUCCUGUGUGAAGAGGCCUGAUGGGUCUCCCAUGAUUCUGUGCUCUGUGGAUUUUUACCAUGAUUCUCUUGAACAGUUGUGGAUCAGAGACGGAGAUGUCCUCAAAAGCUCAUACUCAAAAAAAUCAUUCAAUGGAUACUUCAGUCAGCAAUCAUACCUUAUAAUACCACCACAAACCUUCAAUGAUACAAUCUACUCCUGCUGGGUAAAUCAUUCAUCCCUAAACAAACCACUGGUGGCCAGUUUAUCAAGCUUGGUCUGCUAUAAGAAAGGGGAUUUAACGGAGGCUCUGGCAAGGGCAUUUGUUAUCUCUGCGGUUUUGACAGUCUUUUUGAUCAUUUUUGUAGUCCUGUAGGCAAAUGUAACGUUAAGUCUCAGGUAUGAACUUUGUGUCUAUAUUAACUCUGUGUCUAUAUUUUUCUAUUUAAAAUGUCAUUCUGAUUGUGUAACUGAAUACUGGAAUGCUUAUUACCAGAAAUUGUAUUGGUAAACCUUAAUGACCUUGUCUACGAACAAAGAAUUGACAGUUGUCUAUGAACGUGAUUGUAUUCAAAUGUACAGAUGUUACAGAGCUCCAGACUGUGCCUAAAAUGGUCACAUUUGCCACCAAAAAAUAUUAAUUUGCUAGUGAAAUUUUUGCUGACAUCGCCACUUCCGGCUAUAUAAACUUACAUGUUGUGACUUUAAAUUUGCGUGUAAUUCUUUUUUUUCCUGCUGGUUUUGCCUGUUGCUAUGUUGACGUUAUAAAGUGACGAUAAAAAACAUUGGCUCCAGUUGGCAGCUUGAGAUAAUCGCAAUAAGCUUUGUGCUGUGUUACCUUUAAAUAAACAAAGUAUCAGCUUUAAAAUUCUGCCAAAUCACGAAUUUGCGAUGAAUGGACACCAAAGGUUAUAUUAUAAGAUACAGUACAAAUUACCUACAGUACAAAUUCCUGAAAUGUUUCAUGUAAUCGCUUAUUCAGUUGUCCAAACUGCC